This 323-nucleotide unclassified non-coding RNA is filed under the name plant metagenome. RNAcentral's name for it is "partial contains 5.8S ribosomal RNA, internal transcribed spacer 2, and large subunit ribosomal RNA". The stretch from base 1 to 105 matches the Rfam family "5.8S ribosomal RNA", at positions 50 to 154 of the family's 154-position model. The record is from RNAcentral.
GAAAUGCGAUAAGUAAUGCGAAUUGCAGAAUUCAGUGAAUCAUCGAAUCUUUGAACGCACAUUGCGCCCGCUAGUAUUCUGGCGGGCAUGCCUGUCUGAGCGUCAUUUCAACCCUCAUUCCCGGCUUCGUGUCGGGGAUGGUGUUGGGGAUCGGCCUCCCGGUUGCGGGCGGCCGGCCCCGAAAUAGAGUGGCGACCACGCCGUAGCCUCCUCUGCGUAGUAGUGAAAACCUCGCAGGCGGAGAGCGGUGCGGCCUGCCGUAAAACCCCCAACUCUUCUAAGGUUGACCUCAGAUCUGGUAGGAAUACCCGCUGAACUUAAGC